CAGAGUUCACGCGAUGAGGCUCGCAGAAUGCCGCGCGUCGGCUGAUAGCCUCUACGGAAAA
RNAcentral lists this non-coding RNA (61 nucleotides) under Roseiflexus sp. RS-1. The record is from RNAcentral. Lineage: Bacteria; Bacillati; Chloroflexota; Chloroflexia; Chloroflexales; Roseiflexaceae.